RNAcentral lists this ribosomal RNA (265 nucleotides) under Halopseudomonas bauzanensis. Its description in RNAcentral is "Pseudomonas bauzanensis partial 23S ribosomal RNA". It matches the Rfam family "Bacterial large subunit ribosomal RNA", at positions 454 to 722 of the family's 2925-position model. Lineage: Bacteria; Pseudomonadati; Pseudomonadota; Gammaproteobacteria; Pseudomonadales; Pseudomonadaceae. The record is from RNAcentral.
CAUCCUCCAAGGCUAAAUACUCCUGACUGACCGAUAGUGAACCAGUACCGUGAGGGAAAGGCGAAAAGAACCCCUGUGAGGGGAGUGAAAUAGAUCCUGAAACCGUAUGCGUACAAGCAGUGGGAGCCGACUUGUUCGGUGACUGCGUACCUUUUGUAUAAUGGGUCAGCGACUUAUAUUCAGUGGCGAGCUUAACCGUCUAGGGGAGGCGUAGGGAAACCGAGUCUUAAUAGGGCGUUUAGUCGCUGGGUAUAGACCCGAAACC